This 430-nucleotide long non-coding RNA is filed under the name Malus domestica (apple). Its description in RNAcentral is "long non-coding RNA (MDOM_LNC003663)". The record is from RNAcentral. Lineage: Eukaryota; Viridiplantae; Streptophyta; Magnoliopsida; Rosales; Rosaceae.
GAUCCUUUGUACUUGUGUAAGCCCUUCACUACUAAUAAGAACUCCUCUACUCCGUGGACGUAACCAAUCUGGGUGAACCACGUACAUCCUGUGUUUGCUUCUCUGUCUCUAUUCAUUUACGUACUUAUCCUCACUAGUGACCGAAGCAACCAAGCGAAGGUCAUAAAACCUGACAGUUUUUGUUGUACCAAAGUCUUCGCUGAUUUUGUGCAUCAACAUUUGGCGCCGUCUGUGGGAAACGACACUUAUUCCUACUCUCUUCAGCUGUGUCAAGCUGGUUUCUAUCAUUCGUACACUUUAUUUUGAUCAGGCAUCCCUCUCCAGCAUGGGAAGCGAAGGAAGCCACAUCACACAGAAUGACACCCCCUUGUACAUAGUGCGAAACAACGAAAGAAGGAAGGAAAACGAGUUCUUCUUCAAGCUAAAGUCG